This is a long non-coding RNA of Ictalurus punctatus (channel catfish), 2251 nucleotides long. The record is from Ensembl. Lineage: Eukaryota; Metazoa; Chordata; Actinopteri; Siluriformes; Ictaluridae.
CCUGACUGAAGCGGUGGAGAAACACCAGAAGGCUGAGGAGACCAUCACUCAGCUGCAGAUGGAGAAGGCUGACCUGACCAACCAGGUGGAGACACAGCGAGGAAAAAUGCAGGACGUGGAGAAGCUGCUGUCUGAGACUCACAGGAUGUUUGAUGAUCUAAUGAAUGAGUAUCAGAUGAAGAACGAUGAGAUGAAAAAGCGUCUGAUAGACGCAGAGGAGAUACUGAAGUUCUCCAUGACUGAGGCUGAGGAGUCCAUCACUCAGCUGCAGAUGGAGAAGGCUGACCUGACCAACCAGGUGGAGACACUGCAAGAGACAGUGCAGUACUUGGGGAACCUCCUCAAUGAGACUCACAGGUGCUCUGAUGAUCUAAUGAAUGAGUAUCAGAUGAAGAACGAUGAGACGGAGAAGCGUCUGAUAGACGCAGAGGAGAUACUGAAGGCCUCCCUGACUGAAGUGGAGAAGAAACACCAGAAGGCUGAGGAGACCAUCACUCUGCUGCAGGUGGAGAAGGCUGACCUGACCACCCAGGUGGAGACACUGCAAGAGACAGUGCAGUACUUGGGGAACCUCCUCAAUGAGACUCACGGGUGCUCUGAUGAUCUAAUGAAUGAGUGUGAGUGUGAGCGAGAGGCUUACAGCAACCUCAAGUCCGAGUACGAGGAGAUGAAGGAGACUCUCAUCAACAAGGAGGAGAUACUGAAGGCCUCCCUGACUGAAGUGGAGGAGAAACACCAGAAGGCUGAGGAGUCCAUCACUCUGCUGCAGGUGGAGAAGGCUGACCUGACCACCCAGGUGGAGAGACUGCGAGAGACAGUGCAGUACUUGGGGAACCUGUUCACUGAGGCUCAGAUGGAGUGUGAUGAGCUAAGAGAUAUUUUUUCACAGAAACAUGGCGUAACUUUUAGAUCCCAGGAGGCAAGUGUUUGAGACAGAAGACAGUGAGAACAGAAAUGGAUCCUCAGCAGAAUCAACAUGACGGGGGAAUGAGGGGUGAAAAUAAGAACGUAACAUAACUUACAGUUUCUUACGAUCGCUAUGACAAUUUUUAAAAUACUUUUAACAAUUUUCAUAAACUCUUAACGCACCGACACACCCACAACACACAACUGGCAAAACGGUUCAUUACAUGCUCGAGAUCACACUGUAAACUAAACUCCAACGCUAAUUCUCAAAAUACAAUAAUACACUAACACAUUACACUAUGUCUACCAAAACACUGCAAACACGUCUGAAAAUCAAAUCAUCUUCUUAUCUGCCUGGCUUUCUGCGUUUGGCCACAUGUUCUCAUCCACGUCACACCUGAUCCAGGAGGGACAUUUGGUGUCCCUGUGUUUAGCUAGAGUCCGAGAAAUGGGUGUUACGCCGAUUGCUGCAACGUUCCCAAAGACGAGGUUGUCCUCUACAACUCUGUCCUUCUGUUUCAUUUCAUUGUCAGCAGUCACCAUGUGGACAAUAGCAAGUUCCUGUUCUUCAUUUAGUAGGUAGACGUUGAAUCCUUAGAGAGACAGAAUGCCGGUUUAGAACAUGAUGUUACCUGUUCUGACGUACAGCGUGAAAGCAUUGGUCAAUUUGGCAGUAAAAAUGCAUUGUUUUGGUCUCGAUUGAGCUCGUGUGUAAAAGAAGCAUUUUAAAUUUGUGUGAACUAUAUGCAUUUUGUGUCAAAGCAACAAGAAAUGUGUUAAUUGUACAGCCUACACAGACGGGUGUUGUGCUAAUUGUGGGUGGGUGUAGGGGCGGCUGUGGAUCAGGUGGUAGAGCGGGGUGUACACUAAUCGUAGGGUUGGCGGUUCGAUUUCCGGCCCAAAUGACACCACAUGCCGAAGUGUCCUUGGGCAAGACACUGAACCCCAAGUGCCUUGCAUAGCAGCUCUGCUACCAUUGUGUGUGUGUGUGUGUGUGUGUGAGAGAGAGGGUGAAUGAGACACAGUAUAAAGCGCUUUGGAUAAAAGCGCUAUAUAAGUGCAGACCAUUUACCGUUUAACUGUGUUAAGAGUUUAGGAAAAUUGUUAAAAGCAUUGAACAAAUGGUCAUAAUGGUAAAGACCUGGAAUCAGAUCAGUACGGUUCAUACUGUUGAAUUUAUCACUUUUUUUCACCCUUUAUCGCAUUUUUCACCCUUCGUACGUCAUAAGCUACAAGAAAAAAUACAACCAAGAAAUCAACACAAAGACUUUGACAAUCCCACAGAAAGAAAUAUGUGUAUUUAAGAAAAAUGUUUGUUUUUAGAUGUGAAUAAUAAAUGAAUGAA